This 420-nucleotide ribosomal RNA is filed under the name Fusobacteriota bacterium. RNAcentral describes it as "Fusobacteria bacterium partial 16S ribosomal RNA". It matches the Rfam family "Bacterial small subunit ribosomal RNA", at positions 355 to 776 of the family's 1533-position model. Lineage: Bacteria; Fusobacteriati; Fusobacteriota. The record is from RNAcentral.
UGGGGGAUAUUGCACAAUGGGCGAAAGCCUGAUGCAGCGACGCCGCGUUGGGGAUGAAGGCCUUCGGGUUGUAAACUUCUUUUGCUCUGAACAAGGCAGGCCUUUGGGGUGUGUUGAGUGUAGGGGUUGAUUAGCGCCGGCUAACUACGUGCCAGCAGCCGCGGUAAUACGUAGGGCGCGAGCGUUGUCCGGAAUUAUUGGGCGUAAAGGGCUUGUAGGUGGCUGGUUGCGUCUGUCGUGAAAGCUCAUGGCUUAACUGUGGGUUUGCGGUGGGUACGGGCUGGCUUGAGUGCAGUAGGGGAGGCUGGAAUUCCUGGUGUAGCGGUGGAAUGCGCAGAUAUCAGGAGGAAUACCGGUGGCGAAGGCGGGUCUCUGGGCUGUUACUGACGCUGAGGAGCGAAAGCGUGGGGAGCGAACAGG